GAUGAACGCUGGCGGCGUGCCUAAUACAUGCAAGUCGAGCGAACGGACGAGGAGCUUGCUCCUCUGACGUUAGCGGCGGACGGGUGAGUAACACGUGGAUAACCUACCUAUAAGACUGGGAUAACUUCGGGAAACCGGAGCUAAUACCGGAUAAUAUAUUGAACCGCAUGGUUCAAUAGUGAAAGACGGUUUUGCUGUCACUUAUAGAUGGAUCCGCGCCGCAUUAGCUAGUUGGUAAGGUAACGGCUUACCAAGGCAACGAUGCGUAGCCGACCUGAGAGGGUGAUCGGCCACACUGGAACUGAGACACGGUCCAGACUCCUACGGGAGGCAGCAGUAGGGAAUCUUCCGCAAUGGGCGAAAGCCUGACGGAGCAACGCCGCGUGAGUGAUGAAGGUCUUCGGAUCGUAAAACUCUGUUAUUAGGGAAGAACAAAUGUGUAAGUAACUAUGCACGUCUUGACGGUACCUAAUCAGAAAGCCACGGCUAACUACGUG
This 497-nucleotide ribosomal RNA is filed under the name uncultured bacterium. RNAcentral describes it as "partial 16S ribosomal RNA". It matches the Rfam family "Bacterial small subunit ribosomal RNA", at positions 28 to 507 of the family's 1533-position model. The record is from RNAcentral.